This 254-nucleotide ribosomal RNA is filed under the name uncultured bacterium. RNAcentral describes it as "partial 16S ribosomal RNA". It matches the Rfam family "Bacterial small subunit ribosomal RNA", at positions 524 to 776 of the family's 1533-position model. The record is from RNAcentral.
GACGAAGGAUGCAAGCGUUAUCCGGAUUCAUUGGGUUUAAAGGGAGCGUAGGUGGCCUUAUAAGUCAGUGGUGAAAUCUCUGGGCUUAACCCAGAAAUUGCCAUUGAUACUGUAGGGCUUGAGUAUAGAUGCCGUUGGCGGAAUAUGACAUGUAGUGGUGAAAUACAUAGAGAUGUCAUAGAACACCGAUUGCGAAGGCAGCUAACGAAACUAUAACUGACACUGAGGCUCGAAAGUGUGGGGAGUCAAACAGG